UGAGUAACACGUGAGUGACCUGCCUUUUAGACUGGAACAACUUACCGAAAGGUGAGCUAAUGCCGGAUGAGUUAUAUAAGUGCAUGUUUAUAUAGGAAAAGUUGGGGAGACCUGACGCUGAAAGAUGGACUCGCGUCCCAUUAGCUAGUUGGUAGGGUAAUGGUCUACCAAGGCGACGAUGGGUAGCCGGCCUGAGAGGGUGGCCGGCCACACUGGGACUGAGACACGGCCCAGACUCCUACGGAAGGCAGCAG
Molecule: ribosomal RNA, 254 nt
Filed under: uncultured bacterium
Lineage: Bacteria
Description: partial 16S ribosomal RNA
Rfam family: Bacterial small subunit ribosomal RNA
Source: RNAcentral